GGAAUCUUGGGAAUGGGCGAAAGCCUGACCCAGCAACGCCGCGUGGGCGAUGAAGGCCUUCGGGUUGUAAAGCCCUUGUGCAGGGGAAGAUAAUGACGGUACCCUGCGAAUAAGCCCCGGCUACAUACGUUCCAGCAGCCGCGGUAAUACGUAGGUGGCGAGCGUUGUCCGGAUUUACUGGGCGUAGAGGGCGUGCAGGCGGUCUGUUAAGUCUAGGGUGAAAGCUCCCGGCUCAACUGGGAGAGGUCCUUGGAUACUGGCGGACUUGAGGGAGGCAGAGGAAAGUGGAAUUCCCGGUGUAGUGGUGAUAUGCGUAGAUAUCGGGAGGAACACCAGUGGCGAAGGCGGCUUUCUGGGCCUUACCUGACGCUGAGACGCGAAAGCGUGGGGAGCGAA
RNAcentral lists this ribosomal RNA (396 nucleotides) under uncultured bacterium. RNAcentral describes it as "bacterial SSU rRNA". It matches the Rfam family "Bacterial small subunit ribosomal RNA", at positions 358 to 772 of the family's 1533-position model. The record is from RNAcentral.